UGGUGGAGUGAUUUGUCUGGUUAAUUCCGAUAACGAACGAGACCUUAACCUGCUAAAUAGUUGGAUUAACUCUGGUUGAUUGCAACUUCUUAGAGGGACUAUGGAUGUUUAAUCCAUGGAAGUUUGAGGCAAUAACA
RNAcentral lists this ribosomal RNA (137 nucleotides) under uncultured eukaryote. Its description in RNAcentral is "partial 18S ribosomal RNA". It matches the Rfam family "Eukaryotic small subunit ribosomal RNA", at positions 1299 to 1458 of the family's 1831-position model. The record is from RNAcentral.